CUACUCCUACGGGAGGCAGCAGUAGGGAAUCUUCGGCAAUGGACGAAAGUCUGACCGAGCACGCCGCGUGAGUGAAGAAGGUUUUCGGAUCGUAAAACUCUGUUGUUAGAGAAGAACAAGGAUGAGAGUAAAAUGUUCAUCCCUUGACGGUAUCUAACCAGAAAGCCACGGCUAACUACGUGCCAGCAGCCGCGGUAAUA
RNAcentral lists this ribosomal RNA (200 nucleotides) under uncultured Enterococcus sp. RNAcentral describes it as "partial 16S ribosomal RNA". It matches the Rfam family "Bacterial small subunit ribosomal RNA", at positions 333 to 525 of the family's 1533-position model. The record is from RNAcentral. Lineage: Bacteria; Bacillati; Bacillota; Bacilli; Lactobacillales; Enterococcaceae.